GAUGAACGCUGGCGGCGUGCCUAAUACAUGCAAGUCGAACGCUGGAAAUCUAGCUUGCUAGAUUGAAGGAGUGGCGAACGGGUGAGUAAUACAUAAGCAACCUACCCACGAAGACUGGGAUAAUCUCUGGAAACGGGGACUAAUACCGGAUAGGUAAUCGGAAGGCAUCUUCUGAUUAUUAAAGGUUAAAAACACUGGUGGAUGGGCUUAUGGCGCAUUAGUUAGUUGGUGAGGUAACGGCCCACCAAGACGGUGAUGCGUAGCCGGCCUGGGAGGGUGAACGGCCACAUUGGGACUGAGACACGGCCCAGACUCCUACGGGAGGCAGCAGUAGGGAAUUUUCGGCAAUGGGGGAAACCCUGACCGAGCAACGCCGCGUGAGUGAUGACGGCCUUCGGGUUGUAAAGCUCUGUUGUAAGGGAAGAACGGUAGAUAGAGAAUAUCUAAAUGACGGUACCUUACCAGAAAGCCACGGCUAACUACGUG
Molecule: ribosomal RNA, 486 nt
Filed under: uncultured bacterium
Lineage: Bacteria
Description: partial 16S ribosomal RNA
Rfam family: Bacterial small subunit ribosomal RNA
Source: RNAcentral